This 407-nucleotide ribosomal RNA is filed under the name uncultured bacterium. RNAcentral's name for it is "partial 16S ribosomal RNA". It matches the Rfam family "Bacterial small subunit ribosomal RNA", at positions 29 to 526 of the family's 1533-position model. The record is from RNAcentral.
AUUGAACGCUGGCGGCAGGCCUAACACAUGCAAGUCGAACGCAGUUACGAACGGGUGAGUAACGCGUAGGUAACUGCCUCAUAGCGGGGGAUAACUAUUGGAAACGAUAGCUAAUACCGCAUCCUGUGAGAUGGACCUGCGUUGUAUUGGCUAGUUGGUGAGGUAAAGGCUCACCAAGGCGACGAUACAUAGCCGACCUGAGAGGGUGAUCGGCCAAACUGGGACUGAGAAAAUGGCCAGACUCCUACGGGAGGCAGCAGGAGGGAAUCGUCGGCAAUGGACGGAAGUCUGACCGAGGAACGCCGCGUGAGGGAAGAAGGGUUUCGGAUCGGAAAGCUCUGUUGGGAGGGAAGCGGUAACUAACGAGAAAGGAACGGCUAACUACGUGCCAGCAGCCGCGGUAAUAC